AAGUGGAGAAGGGUUCCAUGUGAACAGCAGUUGAACAUGGGUCAGUCGGUCCUAAGGGAUGGGCGAACGCCGUUCCGAAGGGUGGGGCGAUGGCCUCCGUCGCCCCCGGCCGAUCGAAAGGGAGUCGGGUUCAGAUCCCCGAACCCGGAGUGGCGGAGAUAGGCGCCGCGAGGCGUCCAGUGCGGUAACGCAAACGAACCCGGAGACGCUGGCGGGGGCCCCGGGAAGAGUUCUCUUUUCUUUGUGAAGGGCAGGGCGCCCUGGAAUGGGUUCACCCCGAGAUAGGGGCCCGCGCCCUGGAAAGCGCCGCGGUUCUGGCGGCGUCCGGUGAGCUCUCGCUGGCCCUUGAAAAUCCGGGGGAGAGGGUGUAAAUCUCGCGCCGGGCCGUACCCAUAUCCGCAGCAGGUCUCCAAGGUGAACAGCCUCUGGCAUGUUGGAACAAUGUAGGUAAGGGAAGUCGGCAAGUCAGAUCCGUAACUUCGGGAUAAGGAUUGGCUCU
This 499-nucleotide ribosomal RNA is filed under the name Rita rita. Its description in RNAcentral is "eukaryotic LSU rRNA". It matches the Rfam family "Eukaryotic large subunit ribosomal RNA", at positions 1494 to 1955 of the family's 3401-position model. Lineage: Eukaryota; Metazoa; Chordata; Actinopteri; Siluriformes; Bagridae. The record is from RNAcentral.